AUUGAACGCUGGCGGCAGGCCUAACACAUGCAAGUCGAACGGUAACAGGAAGAAGCUUGCUUCUUUGCUGACGAGUGGCGGACGGGUGAGUAAUGUCUGGGAAACUGCCUGAUGGAGGGGGAUAACUACUGGAAACGGUAGCUAAUACCGCAUAACGUCGCAAGACCAAAGAGGGGGACCUUCGGGCCUCUUGCCAUCGGAUGUGCCCGGAUGGGAUUAGCUAGUAGGUGGGGUAACGGCUCACCUAGGCGACGAUCCCUAGCUGGUCUGAGAGGAUGACCAGCCACACUGGAACUGAGACACGGUCCAGACUCCUACGGGAGGCAGCAGUGGGGAAUAUUGCACAAUGGGCGCAAGCCUGAUGCAGCCAUGCCGCGUGUAUGAAGAAGGCCUUCGGGUUGUAAAGUACUUUCAGCGGGGAGGAAGGGAGUAAAGUUAAUACCUUUACUCAUUGACGUUACCCGCAGAAGAAGCACCGGCUAACUCCGUG
RNAcentral lists this ribosomal RNA (490 nucleotides) under uncultured bacterium. Its description in RNAcentral is "partial 16S ribosomal RNA". It matches the Rfam family "Bacterial small subunit ribosomal RNA", at positions 30 to 507 of the family's 1533-position model. The record is from RNAcentral.